GAAAUGCGAUAAUUAAUGUGAAUUGCAGAAUUCAGUGAAUCAUCGAGUCUUUGAACGCACAUUGCACCCCCUGGUAUUCCGGGGGGUAUGCCUGUCCGAGCGUCAUUGCUGCCCUCAAGCCCGGCUUGUGUGUUGGGUCCUCGUCCCCCCCCCGGGGGACGGGCCCGAAAGGCAGCGGCGGCACCGCGUCCGGUCCUCGAGCGUAUGGGGCUUUGUCACACCGCUCUCGUAGGCCCGGCCGGCGCUGGCCGACGCUGAAAAGCAACCAUUAUUUCUCCAGGUUGACCUCGGAUCAGGUAGAGAUACGCGCUGAACAUAAGC
Molecule: unclassified non-coding RNA, 321 nt
Filed under: plant metagenome
Description: partial contains 5.8S ribosomal RNA, internal transcribed spacer 2, and large subunit ribosomal RNA
Rfam family: 5.8S ribosomal RNA (bases 1-105)
Source: RNAcentral